Molecule: non-coding RNA, 73 nt
Organism: Podarcis lilfordi (Lilford's wall lizard)
Lineage: Eukaryota; Metazoa; Chordata; Lepidosauria; Squamata; Lacertidae
Source: the annotation of a GenBank genome assembly
UAGGGGAGUAGCUCAGGAGUAAGGCACCUACUUUGCAUGUAUAAGGUCCCAGGUUCAAUCGCUGGCUUCUUAA